This 466-nucleotide ribosomal RNA is filed under the name uncultured bacterium. RNAcentral describes it as "partial 16S ribosomal RNA". It matches the Rfam family "Bacterial small subunit ribosomal RNA", at positions 28 to 507 of the family's 1533-position model. The record is from RNAcentral.
GAUGAACGCUGGCGGCGUGCUUAACACAUGCAAGUCGAACGGAAAGGCCCAAGCUUGCUUGGGUACUCGAGUGGCGAACGGGUGAGUAACACGUGGGUGAUCUGCCCUGCACUUCGGGAUAAGCCUGGGAAACUGGGUCUAAUACCGGAUAGGACCACAUUUUGGAUGGUGUGGUGGAAAGUUUUUCGGUGUGGGAUGAGCUCGCGGCCUAUCAGCUUGUUGGUGGGGUAAUGGCUUACCAAGGCGUCGACGGGUAGCCGGCCUGAGAGGGUGUACGGCGGCAUUGGGUCUGAGGUGAGGCCCAAGCUGCGACGGGAGGCAGAAGUGGGGAAUAUUGCACAAUGGGCGCAGGCCUGAUGCAGCAAGGCCGCGUGGGGGAUGACGGCCUUCGGGUUGUAGACUCCUUUCGCUAGGAACGAAGCGUUAUGUGACGGUACCUAAAGAAGAAGCACCGGCUAACUACGUG